GGGGAUUUAGCUCAGCGGCAUAAGCGCCUGCCUUGCAAGCAGGCAUUCAUGAGUUCGAUCCCUUGUACCCA
Molecule: transfer RNA, 71 nt
Organism: Cavia porcellus (domestic guinea pig)
Lineage: Eukaryota; Metazoa; Chordata; Mammalia; Rodentia; Caviidae
Rfam family: tRNA
About the family: Transfer RNA (tRNA) molecules are approximately 80 nucleotides in length. Their secondary structure includes four short double-helical elements and three loops (D, anti-codon, and T loops).
Source: Rfam